RNAcentral lists this ribosomal RNA (497 nucleotides) under uncultured bacterium. RNAcentral describes it as "partial 16S ribosomal RNA". It matches the Rfam family "Bacterial small subunit ribosomal RNA", at positions 28 to 507 of the family's 1533-position model. The record is from RNAcentral.
GAUGUACGCUGGCGGCGUGCCUAAUACAUGCAAGUCGAGCGAACGGACGAGAAGCUUGCUUUUCUGAUGUUAGCGGCGGACGGGUGAGUAACACGUGGAUAACCUACCUAUAAGACUGGGAUAACUUCGGGAAACCGGAGCUAAUACCGGAUAAUAUUUUGAACCGCAUGGUUCAAAAGUGAAAGACGGUCUUGCUGUCACUUAUAGAUGGAUCCGCGCUGCAUUAGCUAGUUGGUAAGGUAACGGCUUACCAAGGCAACGAUGCAUAGCCGACCUGAGAGGGUGAUCGGCCACACUGGAACUGAGACACGGUCCAGACUCCUACGGGAGGCAGCAGUAGGGAAUCUUCCGCAAUGGGCGAAAUCCUGACGGAGCAACGCCGCGUGAGUGAUGAAGGUCUUCGGAUCGUAAAACUCUGUUAUUAGGGAAGAACAUAUGUGUAAGUAACUGUGCACAUCUUGACGGUACCUAAUCAGAAAGCCACGGCUAACUACGUG